GACGAACGCUGGCGGCGUGCUUAACACAUGCAAGUCGAACGGAAAGGCCCAGCUUGCUGGGUGCUCGAGUGGCGAACGGGUGAGUAACACGUGGGUGAUCUGCCCCUAACUUCGGGAUAAGCUUGGGAAACUGGGUCUAAUACCGGAUAGGACAAUCGUUUAGUGUCGGUUGUGGAAAGUUUUUUCGGUUAGGGAUGAGCCCGCGGCCUAUCAGCUUGUUGGUGGGGUAAUGGCCUACCAAGGCGUCGACGGGUAGCCGGCCUGAGAGGGUGGACGGCCACAUUGGGACUGAGAUACGGCCCAGACUCCUACGGGAGGCAGCAGUGGGGAAUAUUGCACAAUGGGCGCAAGCCUGAUGCAGCGACGCCGCGUGGGGGAUGACGGCCUUCGGGUUGUAAACCUCUUUCGACAGGGACGAAGCUUUGGUGACGGUACCUGUAGAAGAAGCUCCGGCUAACUACGUG
RNAcentral lists this ribosomal RNA (464 nucleotides) under uncultured bacterium. RNAcentral describes it as "partial 16S ribosomal RNA". It matches the Rfam family "Bacterial small subunit ribosomal RNA", at positions 28 to 507 of the family's 1533-position model. The record is from RNAcentral.